Homo sapiens (human) is the source of this 1148-nucleotide long non-coding RNA. Ensembl annotates it as long intergenic non-protein coding RNA 598. The record is from Ensembl. NCBI's taxonomy places the organism in Eukaryota, Metazoa, Chordata, Mammalia, Primates, Hominidae.
GCUCUGGUGUCAGAGCGUCUGUCUGCACAGCCAGCCCUGACGUGUCUUAGAUGUGUGACACAGUAUCACCUCUUGAAGACAGAGCUCAGACAGUGUGGUGUAAAGGGGAGAGGAUGGACUUCGGAGUCAGGGUUGGGUUCAAAUACUGGCCAUACCGCUUACCAGCCAUGUGACCCUGGAGAAAAGAUGGCUAUCCCGCCCAAUGUUUGGCCCCCUCCUGCAAAGGCCAAAACAUUCGUUGGGUUUUUCCUUUACUGUCUAAAUAAAGAAGAAUUUGUGCACAGUCUGAGUGGGUCAGGAUUUCAUCCCAUGGCCAUGUGGGAGCUCCAAGAUUUGAUCUCCGGGCUGACCUGUGCAAGCAUCCUGCCUCAUUCCAUUUGGCUGAAGCUCCUGCUCCACUUCUUGCUGGGCUGUGACCAUUCAGGAUCCCCCACUGUCCACCAGAGUCAGCACCUAAAAUGAGUGGGUCCUACAACCAGUGCUUGAGAGCACGGCCUCGGGACCAGAGCACCUGCCUUUCCAUCCAGUCCCUGCUUCUCAUGAGGAAGGUGUCCUUGGGGUGACACUACGAAAAGAGAUCAUCUGUAAAGGAGGUAAUAGGGUGGCCUGUGAUAUCUAUGUUCCUGUUACCAUGAAGAGAUAAUAUGAAGUUUUGGGAGAGAAAAUCUUUUUCUGUCUGGUGUUUUUCAAAAUUUUGAUGAUGGACUCACAUCAAGGAUGAAGAGCUUUGAUGUCAUUUGAACACCACCACCAUCACCACCACCAGCAUCAACAAACAAACAAGCAAACAAGCGUGAACUCAGGAGCCCUGUGGCCCAGCCUCCAGUCCAUUUCCUCACUGUGAUCUGGCUAAGUCACCUCCCCUCCACCUCAGUUCAGUCACCUACACAACAGGAAUGGUGGCUCCUGGCGUGAAAAGUUCUUAGGAGCAUUCAGCAUGAUGCUGUGUGGAGCACUUGGAAACUGCGUGUGCAUCACCUCAUAUUUCUGGCCACAGGUCAUUCAGACAUCUGCCCUUUGCCCUGGAGGAGAACCACUAGGGACUUGUGCCCAUAAGCACCAAUUCUGGCUUUUACCCUACCCAUCCUUUGCCAUCCCAAACUAUGCCAUCAACAAAUUCUAGAAAUCAAGUUAGAAAUGCUGUUCCC